RNAcentral lists this ribosomal RNA (253 nucleotides) under uncultured bacterium. RNAcentral's name for it is "partial 16S ribosomal RNA". It matches the Rfam family "Bacterial small subunit ribosomal RNA", at positions 524 to 776 of the family's 1533-position model. The record is from RNAcentral.
UACGUAGGGGGCUAGCGUUGUCCGGAUUUAUUGGGCGUAAAGAGCGUGUAGGCGGCCAGGUAGGUCUGGUGUGAAAACUCGAGGCUUAACCUCGAGAUGUCAUCGGAAACCAUCUGGCUAGAGUCCGGAAGAGGAGAGUGGAAUUCCUGGUGUAGCGGUGAAAUGCGCAGAUAUCAGGAGGAACACCGGUGGCGAAGGCGACUCUCUGGACCACAACUGACGCUGAGGCGCGAAAGCUAGGGGAGCAAACAGG